This 73-nucleotide transfer RNA is filed under the name Stegodyphus mimosarum. It matches the Rfam family "tRNA". Rfam says of the family: Transfer RNA (tRNA) molecules are approximately 80 nucleotides in length. The record is from Rfam by way of RNAcentral. Lineage: Eukaryota; Metazoa; Arthropoda; Arachnida; Araneae; Eresidae.
GCCUUCGUGGUGUAGUGGUCAGCGCGCUCGGCGCGUAUUCGAGAGGUCCGUGGUUCGAGUCCUGGCGAGGGCA